RNAcentral lists this long non-coding RNA (1067 nucleotides) under Manacus vitellinus (golden-collared manakin). RNAcentral's name for it is "lncRNA (ENSMVIG00005005661.1)". Lineage: Eukaryota; Metazoa; Chordata; Aves; Passeriformes; Pipridae. The record is from RNAcentral.
CAAAUAAUUUUGUAAAAGUGAAGUGGUCCAACUUCAAGUCUUUGUUACUGACCUCAUGAAUAUGCUUUUCAGGCAUCUGAGGCUGCUUCUUGGAAAAGAUGAUAUUGGACAAAUCCAUGAUUAGAGCCUUUGUAAUGUUAACCAUCCCUACUGCGCUGGAAUUGAUUACACACAUUUGGUGAAAGGCAAUUUGAAUGACUGUUUCUCCAGCCAUUUUCAAAGGGACAGGAGGAGGAUGCAGUAGGGAAACCUGUGUUGAUGCAGCUCUGCACCAGCACACUGAUGUAGAGCUUCAGCUGGAUUCAAAAUAUACUGUGUUCGGUGGUUAAGCCCUUUUUCUUUGCAUCUUCCUAUCCAAAGAAGUAUUUACAUGAAAUGUCAGUCACCCCGUGGAAUUAUAUGAGAAUUAAUUAUCUGUGGAGAAUGAUUUGGCCCUAUUAAUUAUGGGUCUCAUGUAAGAAAAAGAAUAGGCCUAAUGUGUCAUAUGACUUUUUUCAGACAGUGAACUAGGAACUCAUAGGCAUCAAAUAUCAAUAAUGGUUUUGUUGAAUACAGAUUGAUGACCUCUGACAGAAAUUAUAGGAGAAACUUGUAUCAUUUUGUCUUAUUAUAGCCUACUAAGACCUUAGUCAAGAUUGGGGUCUUAUUUUCUUAGGCUGUCAUGCAAGGGGUUAAAGCCGAUAUUUAUCAGAUUAUUAUUUGCAACCAGUCAUGAAUGAAUAAGGCUUUAAUAUACGUAGAGUCAGAAAUAGCUGAUGUUAAAAUGCAAUUGCAAAUCAAAUACAGUAUUUCGUGGAGACAGUUAAAACAUUAUGUCUAAUUAAGUCUUCAUUUAAACAUGUGUGUAAUUUUGUUGUUCAGAAUUAUGUACAGCUUUGUAGACUGUUCCCUGCAGUGAAUCAUGGUGCCUGCUUGUAUCUUGCCAUUUGGUAAAGGAAAUCUUGAAUUUUAUGUUUUGCAGAUAUAGUCAAAUAUAAACAAAGUUCUAAGUUUUCUGAAUUAUUCAAAAUCUGUGUAUCUCACUGAGAAAAACUGAGUGUUUAUCAUUUUGUACUUUUAAAAUGUGG